GAUAGGAGCAUGCACAUGAGUCCCCGCCCCCUCCAGUACGUGAUGGUGGAGGAAUGGACGGCGAGCAUCGGCAGUGCUGGCGCCACCUUUAAGUACAAUGCAGGGAACCGGGAAAAGCAGCUCUGAACUUCUUGCUCGGCGGUAGUGUCGUUGCCACCGCUCCGCCCAAGCGCCAGGCCUAAACCUGGGGCUUGUUCCGAACAGUGCCCCAGCGUGCGGCCCCUUCGCCCCGCACGGGCCUCGCCACCGCUCGGAACCUCGCCGGGGGCAGUGUCCUGCUCAGGCUUUUGGAGAUUGAAGCGCCCACCGUGGCCUCGGCCAGGCACUCCGGUCUUUGACGCACCCGCUCUGGGAGCUCCGAAGGGAGGGCGAAGCCAGGGGUUUGGGACUGAGGCCUUGACACCGAAAAUAAUCUUCCUCGUUCUGAUGCCAGCAGCGUGCAGACCGUUAAUGCUGGAGUGGGAGGCAAGAAUGUCACCUUUUCCGGGUUUUUGCAAAGAGCUAAAAGGGAGGAGUUGAGAAGAACUGACAAGAGCAGGUUGAGGUGGCCCGUAUCUGCCUGUGGCACGGGAUUCAUUCAGAGGAGAAGAAUACGAUUGUGGCCCUCCAGUGUUCAGUCUGUCUGGGAAGACAGACCAGCAAAUAAAUCCUUAUAGUGAGGACAGUGAGAUGGUGACGACUAUCUUAACAAGGAAAGGGAAUGAGGAAGCUAUAGUUGACUCUUCACUCUCAGCAAAUGCUGUGGCCAAUGACACUGACCUGAGAGCAGCAUGAGACUACGGGAAGCCUUUCUCCAAAUUCAGCCCAUCAUUCUAAGCGCACUUCCCUCUUUGGAUUAGUGAGCAGAACUGAAGAGAGGGCACGAGGGUUCUGGAGGAUACCGACCAAUUGGACGUCUUUAAGCCCACUGAACUCCUUGUUAUUAUUAAUCUUCUGUGAGGCUGCAGCAAAUGAACAGUCAACCACAACAAAGAUGGCGGGAGCGGCUUCAUCACGGCAACGGCGACGCUACACUGCAACGAGCGCCUCAAUAUUUAGUUCCGGCCUGCCCGUUUAACGUCACUUCCGACACCGGCCCCGCGGCGUGCGCGCAGCUCCACCUGCAGCCGCGGUGGGUACGCCGAGCCGGGUGAGUGGAGUCUGAGAGAGUCUCGCGGAGAGGAAAUGCGGAGCCAGCAACAUGGAAAGGGAAGGUGGGAAGCCCGCGGCUGUCGUCGCGGUUGUGACUGAGUCUCGGUUUACCCAGCGAUACAGGGAAUAUCUCGAGAAGCAGAAACUCCUGGAUAGACAGCACCGUGUAGAAAAGAUGCCGGAUGGCACGGUGGCGCUGCCCGUGGUGGGAGAGGCUCUCCCUGAGCAGUACCUGCAGGAGCUGAGGGAUCGUGUGGCUCCAGGCAGCACCUGUAAAGUAACACAGCUCCUGGAUCCUGUUCCCUCAAAGAAGGCCCAGGGUUGUUCACCCGCCCAAAGGCUGUGUCUUGAAGUGAGUCGCUGGGUAGAGGGCCGGGGAGUGACGUGGUCAGCCGAGUUGGAGGCUGACUUGCCCCGAUCUUGGCAACGACAUGGUGACCUCUUGUUGCUAAGCGAGGACUGUUUCCAAGCCAAGCAAUGGAAAAAUCUGGAACCAGAACUCUGGGAGGCUGUUGCGUCGGCACUUGGCGUCCAUCGUGUGGCUAAACGAGGGCGGGUAUCACCAGAUGGCACUCGAACACCAGCAGUGACUCUGCUGCUGGGCGCCCAUGGCUGGGUAGAGCAUGUGGAUAAUGGGAUCCGAUAUGAGUUUGACGUGACCCGGUGCAUGUUCUCCUUCGGAAACAUCACUGAGAAACUUCGAGUGGCAUCGCUGCCCUGUGCUGGAGAAGUGCUGGUGGAUCUCUAUGCAGGGAUUGGUUAUUUUACGUUGCCCUUCCUAGUCCAUGCUGGUGCUGCCUUCGUCCAUGCCUGUGAGUGGAACCCCCAUGCUGUAGUUGCUCUGAGAAAGAACCUUGAUAUCAAUGGAGUAGCAGAUCGGUGCCAAAUACACUUUGGGGAUAACAGAAAACUGAAGCUCUCAAACAUUGCAGACAGGGUGAACCUGGGACUAAUUCCUAGUUCUGAAGAAGGCUGGCCCAUUGCCUGCCAAGUGUUAAGACGGGAUGCUGGGGGCAUUUUGCAUAUCCACCAAAAUGUGGAAUCUUACCCAGGCAAGAAUCUCCAGCCUCCUGGAGGCAGUGAAAUGGAGAAGGAGCACUGGCCUUAUCCUCAGCAAAUUAUCACCAACGAGUGUACAAAUGGAGCAACCAGGGAUUCUAGGAGAAAAACACUAUCAGCUACCACCAAACCAGAGUGGCAGAGGUGGGCGGAAUCUGCAGAAAUUCGUAUUGCCACCCUUCUUCAGCAGGUGCAUGGGACACGGUGGAAGACACAAAUCCUGCACAUCCAACCAGUGAAAUCCUAUGCUCCCCACGUGGAUCACAUAGUGUUGGAUUUGGAAUGCCGCCCCUGUCCUCUAGUUGGGUAGAGAAGGUGGAUCCUUCUCUACCAAGGAUCUACAUGCUCUAGAUCAGUUCAAGUCCUCUUGUUUCUCUUCCGUUAACACAAUGAGAAUGAACUACAUAUCUGGGAGAAGCAGUAUGGCUCAUUGAAAUGAGGCCUGUACCGUGAAUUCUCACCUCAGUCCUGUCUUACCUUGGGCACUGUAAUGAGGGCCAGACACACAGAGUUUUCUCCGAGUACUUGCUGGAUUGGCCUGGUCAGGAAGAGGCAUCUAAUGGAACCAAGGAAAAAAGACUGGAAGGACCAGGAGGCUCGUGGAGAGUUUGUCACCUCAGUCCAGGAGUGUGUACAAGUGCCGAAGGCUUCCUUUGUGAGCAUCAGUAUUAGCUGCUGGUUAAUGCACCCACUUGAUGGAGAGACUUGAUUAAAAAACAGUAAUGAUAAUUUUAUUAAACUCCCUCAACCGUGAGUUGCUUGAUUCAUUGACUUCAUAAUUUUAAUAAAUUAUGUGCAUAUAUUGAUAUAGGGAGUAUAAUGUAUACAUUUUAAAUAUAAAAACAUAGACAUUUAAAAUGAUGAGUAACAGAUAGGAUUUUUAAUUCACUUUCUCCCACCACGGACACGUAUGUGAGGAGAAACCCAAUAUAUGUUAUUCUGCACAGCCUCAGGGUGCAUCCACUUCACAGUGGGCAAGCCAUGAAACCAGUCAUUUUCUUGGCUCUUGGUAGUUUCCUCUCAUGGGUACUGAUCAUUACAGUCUGCUGCUUCAGGGGAUGGUCAGCAGAUGUCUGGAGUUCUCUGUAGCUCUCUGUACUCUGGCAUUCUACCCUCUGGACUCAUUCCUGGGCUCCUAGGACUCCCCGUUCCACCUCCACCUCAGGGAGUCCUGGCUUCUCCCUCCUCAAGCCCAGAAACUUUCUCCAGGCGGUAAGCUGGAGCAAUUCAAUGGCUCGCCCUGUGGGUUUGCGUCUCCCAUGGAUCAUUGUCCAUUGCCUGUGUCAGUGCCUUGAGGGGGGUUGUUCAUAUGUUUUGUGUAGCUUUUUUUUUUUUUUAACUAUUUAGAAGUUUAUAAUAAUUAGGGUAUAAAUUUACUAGCUUUCACAAUCAUUGAAGAAGUUCACUUCUAGCCAUAAUAAAUAUAUACACAUACUUAAGCUGACACACCAUUUCAUCAUCCACAGAUGGCUCUUGUGUGCCAGUGGGUGUUGGUAGAAGCUGAGCAUCUCUGGGGACAUCAGGUAACUCUGCAGCCAGCGUUCCCCUUCACAAGCUGAGUUUUGUCAGACCCUUCAAGUCAAUCCAUCGUAAGAUGGAAGCGUUGCCUCUGGGAUGGAUGACAAGCAAGGCCAGAGGAAAUGAACAGGUGCACAGGGAAGUGUUUCAGUGGACACAUGACCACGUGAUUCACCAGUCCUAUCACAUCCUAGAAAAUGCUGGUCUGGUGGAGUGGUGGAAAAACCUUUUGAAACCAGACCAAAGCUUCGAGGUAAUGGCCAAUGAAUGAGGUGCCAUCCCCCAGAAUGCAGUAUAUACUCUAAACACCUAUUACAUAGUGCCACAUCCCAUAUAGACAGAAAGUGCACAGUUAGGGUAGAAAUAGAAUUCCUACUGUGGUGGGCUAAAUAAUGCCCCCCAAGUAUGUCCAUGUCCUAUUACCCAGAACCUGUAAAUACAUUGUAUUUACAAGAGGACAAAUAUGUGGUAAAAGGGACCUGGCAGAUGUGAUUAAGAAUCUCAAGAUGGGGAGGGUAUCCUGGAUUAUCCAGGUUGGCCCAGUAUAAUUUCAGAGGUCCUUAUAAGAGGGAGGCAGUACAAGUAGGAGGAGGUGUGAUGAUUGAAGUAGGACGCAGUAAUGUAAGGAAGGGGCCAUGAGCCGAGGAAUGAAGGCAGCCUCUGGAAACAGAAAGGCAGGGAAAUGAAUUCUCCCCCAGAACGCUUCAGGAGGAACAGAGUUAUUGGCACCUUGACUCUAGACUUCUGACCUCCAUAGCUGAGAGAGAAUAAAUUUAUGUGGUAUCAAGCCACUAAGUGUGUGGUUAUUUGUUACAGCAGCAGUAGGAAGGGAACGUAUUCAUUUACUGUCCCCACUGGCCUACCCGGGGAGUUUGUGCCUCCCGUCUCCAUAACUUUGUUUGACUAGAGGGCUGGUUCCUAAUUGGGAAACUGUUUCAUCAGGAGAUAUAAUAAUAGACCCUUUCAACUUGAACCUUCUGCGGUUUCCCAGUCACAUCAAGCUCCUUGUGCUUAGAGACCAGCAGACAAGGAGAAGUCCCCAUUCUGGUUGGGGAUAAGUGAGUGUGAUCAUCAGGAGGAAGUAUGGUUAUUGUUACACAGUGAGGGCAGGAAGGCAUAUAUUUUGUGCUUAUUCCAUCCACUAGGGUGUCUCUUGAUACUUCCCUACCCAAUGUCAAGAGUAAAAUGAGCGACUUCCAAAAUGACGGAAUAAGGACCUCUGAAAACUGGCCUCUCCAUAAAAGCAAUGAGAACACUGGCAGAAAUUGUCAAAAUCACCUUUUUCUUUUAGAACUCUAGAAACUAAAGCAAUCUGAAGAGGAUUUAUUUUAAAAACUGCUAAAUCUGAUUAAAAAGGGAAGCUUCUGGCAUUCUAACAUGCCCUAUUCCUACCCUCCAACUCUAAUAGAAGUUAAAUUGUUCUUAACUGUAGGGUGAAUGCUUCCAGGAUGAUUCACCAUUAAAUGAUAUGCAGCCUUUGUUAGACCCAUUAUAUUGCUGGUUUUUUAACCCUUUCCCACUGUACUGUAGUGUCACUUUUAUCAUAAAUCAGGUGACCGUAUAUGUGGGGCUGUUUCCAGACUUUCUUGUUCUAUAGUCAGUUUUUCUAUGGAAGCACCAAUACGAUCUUGUUUGAAUCACUGUAUCUUUACAAUAGGUCCUGAUAUCUGAUACUGUAUGUCCUUCAGCUUUGUUCUUUAAGUUUACCUUAGUUAUUCUUGACCUUUUGCCUUUUCUUACAAAUUUUAAAAUCAGCUUGUCAAUUUUGGGGAAAAUGAACCUGUUGAGAUUUUUUGUUGGGAUUACAUUGAACAUAUAGGAUACAAUUGAAAUCUUUACAGUGCCAAAUCUUCUGUCUUGAAGCUUUUCUUCUACUCAGUGGGGUGCAGUUCUGAAAUGAGAAGUGAUUAUCAGAAGCCUGGACGACAGGAUUCCAUUGUGGGGGAAGGGUCCUUUCCUUCCCAUCUGUCAGUGGGCUGUGUAUCCAUCUUCUUUGGGCUCCCUGCCUCGGCAGAUGUUUUUAACUUAGUGUUACUUGUACUCUGCCUCUCAGCAGGAUCUCAGCCCUCAGAUUAUUCUUGACCAUCACUUUACAUAAUUAACAUAUUUGAACCUAUCACCUAUUUACAUUCUAACAUAAAUUAAGUACUAUGAAUGUGAUUAUCACAUUUCACUAUCCAAACUAACAAACAUUAUCUUAACAGUACUCCUGACCCACACAUGGAACCAUUGCAAAGUAUCGUGUGUAGUGUUGUAAGGGUUCCUGUAUUUUCCUAAAAUUUGUUCACCGUUCUAAUUAUUAUUACAUACUAUAUAUCAUACUAAGUACUUAAAAUAUAUUGUUUUAAUUUGUGUAACCAGCAUGAAAAAUUACUUGCAGAGGAUCAGAUAGGCUCUGGAAUCAGAAAAAUACCAGUUAGAAUCCUGGCUCUGCCAAUUAUUGUCUGUCUUUCAACAGUUUUGUUGAGAUUAAACUAGAUGAUGCAUGCUAUGUGUUUCAUAUCUUAUCUGCCAGUAUUAACCAUCUCUCUUCUUUUUCCCAGGUGAGGAUGCUGAUUAGAGAGCUUAAGUACUGUGUCUAGAGACAGAGAACUAGCAAGAGGCAAGCAUACUGCCAAGCACAUACUGCUCAAUGUCUGUUACAUGAAUGAAUGAACCAAAGUAGUCAGUAUAUACUCAACAUUGACUCCAAAUGCCACUGUAUUCUCUGUUGUGAACAGAGAAAACAGUGAACAACAGACCCUUCCUAUUCAUUUGGAAUUUACAAAACCAGAAAACUCAACUGGUAGCUGAAUUUUGAUGGACAUAUCUGAAAUUUACUUUAAUGAAAUGAGAAAAACUAUAAAGUAGUUUCAGGCCAGAAAUUAGUUUUUUUAGUAAUUCCCCAAGGUCUGAGAAAAAGUUAUGGGACAUAUUUAUCCCUUUUUGGGCUAUCAAUUCCUACUCUUCCUACCAGCAUCACCAUCUUCCAUUUGAAGUAAAUGUAUAAUACGUUGGUGGAGAGAGGUGGGGUGGGUGGUUCUAAGUACCUGUUUCCUACCGCUUUCUCCCACUAAGGAAGCUGCGUGUACCUGCCCUCCGGUACAGCGAGGGGAAGAUACGUGGCCCAAUAAGCUCGACCAAUUGCAUAUCACUCUUGCAACUUGAAAUCUUGAAAAAUAAUGAAAAUAACCCUCUAAUAAAUUCCUUUUCUGCUUAAGAUAGCCUGGAAUCAGUUGCUGCUGUUUGGAACAAAGACUUGGCAAAUGCAAAGAUCAACAGAAAAUUCAAACGAGUUUUUACACAUCCUACUUUCAAAGGUUUUUUUUAGAACGACUUAAAGACAUUCAGCCAUUAAAGCCAAAUGAACAGAUUGUUAUUUUUAAACACAGGUAAUUUAUAUCUAUAGAGUGUGUCUGCGUGAAUACACACACCCCCUCCACACUGCUCUGAGUGGAUUCAAUAUAAAUACAUGCCUGAGUUGUGCAACGUUCAAGUCAAUGUAGAAACCAAGCAAAGAUUAAAUUCACUGAAUUGCAGCUAUUUCUAUGAAAGCUUUUUUUUUUUUUCAUUUGGUGAGUGCUAUGAAGGGAUUAUGCUUUUUAGGAACUUAGCUUCUAUUAAGAUGACUAACAGACAUUUCCUGAUACGAAACUGAGAAGACCUCUUGCAAAGCUAAGCAAACAUAGCUAUUGAGUUCCUUUUGUAAAAAACUGUUCCUCUGAGAUUUUCCCCAUUGUUCCUCUGUUCCAAUCAUAGCAUCUAUUAAGUGGUAUUGUAGUCAUCAACUUUUUGGUAGUACAGGAUAUUUUUUGGUAGUAUAGGAAGGGCAUCCCUUCAUCUUUACUUGCAGGUGAUUAUUUCUCCUAACUUAACUGGACCCAUAAAUGUAAGCGGGCAGGGACACCUGGGUGGCUCAGUCAGUUA
Molecule: RNA transcript, 7614 nt
Organism: Ailuropoda melanoleuca (giant panda)
Lineage: Eukaryota; Metazoa; Chordata; Mammalia; Carnivora; Ursidae
Gene: TYW2
Gene name: tRNA wybutosine-synthesizing protein 2
Exons: 6
Source: RefSeq, a predicted model, not a curated record